RNAcentral lists this microRNA precursor (114 nucleotides) under Marmota monax (woodchuck). The record is from RNAcentral. Lineage: Eukaryota; Metazoa; Chordata; Mammalia; Rodentia; Sciuridae.
AUUUGUAGUACACGCUCUUGAUUUCCUAGGGUUUGCUUAUAGUACGCUCCACAAAGCAGUAUAUUUCAUGUACUAUAAGCAAACCCUAGGAAAUCAAGAGCGUGUACUACAAAU